This 253-nucleotide ribosomal RNA is filed under the name uncultured Parabacteroides sp. Its description in RNAcentral is "partial 16S ribosomal RNA". It matches the Rfam family "Bacterial small subunit ribosomal RNA", at positions 524 to 776 of the family's 1533-position model. Lineage: Bacteria; Pseudomonadati; Bacteroidota; Bacteroidia; Bacteroidales; Tannerellaceae. The record is from RNAcentral.
UACGUAGGUGGCGAGCGUUAUCCGGAUUUAUUGGGUUUAAAGGGUGCGCAGGCGGUCUGUUAAGUCAGCGGUCAAAGCCCGGGGCUCAACCAUAAAAUUGCCGUUGAAACUGGAAGACUUGAGUGUGUUUGAGGUAGGCGGAAUGCGUGGUGUAGCGGUGAAAUGCAUAGAUAUCACGCAGAACUCCGAUUGCGAAGGCAGCUUACUAAGCCAUAACUGACACUGAAGCACGAAAGCGUGGGGAUCAAACAGG